RNAcentral lists this unclassified non-coding RNA (307 nucleotides) under Bombus terrestris (buff-tailed bumblebee). Its description in RNAcentral is "misc RNA ENSBTSG00005029528.1". The record is from RNAcentral. Lineage: Eukaryota; Metazoa; Arthropoda; Insecta; Hymenoptera; Apidae.
AUCACAACGGAAUAUACACUGAAUUAACAUAAAUCACAAUUCACUCCAACCACGUUAUAUAAAACUUAGUUACAAUGAUACGUUAAGUAUGCGACUGUUAUAAGGGUAAAGACCGGUAAAGAUAUCUUGACUAUUCUAAGAAUACAGAAUAAAUGAGGGUAGGUGUGUCUAAGGACACGGGACUAUCGGAUUUGUUGAUGCUAAUUUUGGUUAAGGAAGUGAGGGCAGUAGACACCAUCUCCGAUUGGAUAAUAGAAAGGUUGGUGAACAAGGAAGGGUUUUAGCCACUCUCGUGAGAAAGUUGCUA